GAAGUGGCGUCGAUCGGGAAAAGUAGCCGGUCAGGCGAGCCUCCAGAGAGCCGGGGAUGGUGAGAACCCGGUGGCGGCGCGGCUGGUGAAUGGCCCCGGGAGCUUCGAAGGCGAACGCGCGAGCAAGUAGCUUUCGACGGAGUGGCACCGUUAUCAGAGCCUGAGCCUUCGUGUGCGUCCGCGCGCGGUGGCAACGAGUGUCGCGGCGUCUCGCUGCGAAACAAAGGUGGCACCGCGAGCUUCCCCCUCGUCCUUUGA
This 258-nucleotide non-coding RNA is filed under the name unidentified. Its description in RNAcentral is "Bacterium SCGC T-box sequence". It matches the Rfam family "T-box leader". Rfam says of the family: Uncharged tRNA acts as the effector for transcription antitermination of genes in the T-box leader family. T-boxes are found upstream of many aminoacyl-tRNA synthetase genes and some amino acid biosynthetic genes usually in Gram-positive bacteria. The record is from RNAcentral.